ACACUUCCUUCAGGCAAGAGAAAACGGUAAAUUCAAAAAGCUGUUUGACAUUUGACUUUUUUGCCCAGAGUGCAAUAAAAUAAAUAUAAACAAAGAAUUUGCAAUAAAAUUAUAAAAUAUUUAUUUACAAUUAAUUUAUUUCAUUAAAAUCACAAAAAAAAAAACUAAAGAAAACACAAUGGAUCCACUUUACGACUCAGAUGACGAAUUCAAUUACAGUGACUUAAUUUUCCAAUUAUCCGAUAUAACACGCCAAACUUUGGAAAAACUAACCAUUGCAUAUGUUCUAUGUCCCAUCGAAGAUUCACAUAUAGAUAAUCUACAAAACGAAUCCAAUCAACUUAAAGAACAACGCACUCAUCUUGAAGAACAACUCAAAAAAACAAAACGCAAACGAUGGUGCAGCUGGUGUCAGUUGGAAGCUGUUUUUCAAAGUGAAAAUGAAAGAUUUUAUUGUUGUUCCAGAUGUGAGAAACUCGAUAUUCUGUUAUCCAAAGAAGAUUAAAAAAAAUGUUUGUUACCAGUUCGUUGAACAUUUUUAAUUUAUCAAAAAAAACAAAAAGUUCCAUGAAAAAUGUUUCAUAUUUCUCUGUGGUGAGAAAAAAUAAAUAGAAAAUUAAGUUUUGAUUUAAA
This is a long non-coding RNA of Eupeodes corollae, 633 nucleotides long. RefSeq lists it as uncharacterized. The transcript has 2 exons. NCBI's taxonomy places the organism in Eukaryota, Metazoa, Arthropoda, Insecta, Diptera, Syrphidae. The record is from RefSeq and is a predicted model, not a curated record.